Serratia sp. M24T3 is the source of this 109-nucleotide non-coding RNA. NCBI's taxonomy places the organism in Bacteria, Pseudomonadati, Pseudomonadota, Gammaproteobacteria, Enterobacterales, Yersiniaceae. The record is from Rfam.
UUGUAAUUUCAACCUCAUGAUUUAUAUGUAGGCUUUUUUAUAAAGCUUACAUCCCAAAGAAUUGCUGUGUGUAGUCUUUGCCUGUCUUUUAAGACGGGCCUUUUUUUUC